GGCUAUAUUACAUGGAUUUAUUGUGAAGGUGUAGACUAUAUUACAUGGAUUUAUUGUGAAGGUGUAGGCUAUAUUACAUGGAUUUAUUGUGAAGGUGUAGGCUAUAUUACAUGGAUUUAUUGUGAAGGUGUAGGCUAUAUUACAUGGAUUUAUUGUGAAGGUGUAGGCUAUAUUACAUGGAUUUAUUGUGAAGGUGUAGGCUAUAUUACAUGGAUUUAUUGUGAAGGUGUAGGCUAUAUUACAUGGAUUUAUUGUGAAGGUGUAGACUAUAUUACAUGGAUUUAUUGUGAAGGUGUAGACUAUAUUACAUGGAUUUAUUGUGAAGGUGUAGGCUAUAUUACAUGGAUUUAUUGUGAAGGUGUAGACUAUAUUACAUGGAUUUAUUGUGAAGGUGUAGACUAUAUUACAUGGAUUUAUUGUGAAGGUGUAGGCUAUAUUACAUGGAUUUAUUGUGAAAGUGUAGGCUAUAUUACAUGGAUUUAUUGUGAAGGUGUAGGCUAUAUUACAUGGAUUUAUUGUGAAGGUGUAGGCUAUAUUACAUGGAUUUAUUGUGAAGGUGUAGACUAUAUUACAUGGAUUUAUUGUGAAGGUGUAGGCUAUAUUACAUGGAUUUAUUGUGAAGGUGUAGGCUAUAUUACAUGGAUUUAUUGUGAAGGUGUAGGCUAUAUUACAUGGAUUUAUUGUGAAGGUGUAGGCUAUAUUACAUGGAUUUAUUGUGAAGGUGUAGGCUAUAUUACAUGGAUUUAUUAGACUUUUUAAAAUGUAGAUGUUACAAAGGUCUACAUCAGUGCCUUUGUAGGCUGUGGGUGGAAGGCAGGAGAUACUAAAUGUGUUUAUGUUAACUAACGGUCAAUUACCGGGAGACCGACGGUUAUUUGCUUGACAAUCACCGGCUGAUGAAAUUUCAUGACCACCACAUCCUUAGUCCUGAAGAUAAACAGAGAAAUAAGAAAUACACUGAUACAGAAACCU
This is a long non-coding RNA of Oncorhynchus keta (chum salmon), 972 nucleotides long. RefSeq lists it as uncharacterized. The transcript has 5 exons. The record is from RefSeq and is a predicted model, not a curated record. Lineage: Eukaryota; Metazoa; Chordata; Actinopteri; Salmoniformes; Salmonidae.